UGUUGGCUGAUAGGGGUCUUUUCCUUGCUGUCUGAGCUUGAUGGCUGGAUAAAUUUGCAUUUCUUCUUUUUGUGUUUUAUCCUGUGGCCUUUACAAACCAGGACUGAUGAGAACAGUGGGACAAUCUGCAUGCUUCAACUUGCUGCACCAAGGUCUAAAAACCAGGAGGUGAAUGAACAUUUGAAGCUUGAAGACCUUAAUCUAACAGGCAAACAUUUCUCAGGUUUGGCCAGACAAUCUCUAUCCUUGAGUUGUAAGAGACAGAAAGAACAGAGUGAAUGCUCCAUAUGCUGUUCGGAGCCCUAUUCAUUACCACCAUCUGU
Molecule: long non-coding RNA, 323 nt
Organism: Nothoprocta perdicaria
Lineage: Eukaryota; Metazoa; Chordata; Aves; Tinamiformes; Tinamidae
Exons: 3
Source: RefSeq, a predicted model, not a curated record